UAAUAUCGGAAGGUUCUGCUUUUCCGUUUUAUCAAAACUUGGCAUAGACGGGGUCAAAAUGAAUACCAACUAACCCACAACACACACGCGUGCGCGAGAUAAAAAGGGCAGACGCUGAGCCCAUAAACUCGUCAGCCCUUUUUCUUCCAGAAGGAGCGACCUGUUACCAAGGCAAUCGAGAGCUCGCUGCGCCUGCGCAUUCUCUCUCCCGGCGCGGGGGAAGGAGGGCUUGCCGGAGCGGAAACGGAAGUGGAAGUGGAGGCAGAACCUGCCAGGAGAUUAAUACCAAGAUUUCAACAAUGGGUGUGAGAGGUUUACAUGGAUUUGUGGGAAAUGCCUGUCCCAGUGUAUGUACAGUAGUAAAUUUGAAAGAAAUGGCAGAAAAAUACCAGAUUCACCAUCCUGGAUGCACUCCUGUAAUUGUUGUUGAUGCCAUGUGCUGUCUUAGACACUGGUAUACACCCAAAUCUUGGGUCUGUGGUGGCCAGUGGCUGGAAUACCUUUCUAUCUUACAAGAUUUCAUUAAAGCUUUUAAUACAGCAGGCAUCAAGUUGGUAUUCUUCUUUGAUGGUGUGGUAGAGCAGAAUAAGAGGCAUGAAUGGGUGAAACGGAGACUGAGGGACAACAAGGAAAUAUCUAGAAUCUUUCAGUUCAUCAAGACCCAUAGGCAACAACCAAGCAGAAAUAUGUUCUUCAUUCCCUCAGGGCUGGCUAUAUUUACUAUUUUUGCUUUAAAAUCCCUGGGUCAGGAAACUAUGUGUUCAUUACGAGAGGCAGACUAUGAAGUAGCUUCUUAUGGGCUUCAAAAUAACUGCCUGGGAAUUCUUGGAGAAGAUACUGACUAUCUCAUCUAUAAUACAUGCCCUUACUUUUCUGUUAAUAAGCUCUGCCUUGACAGGCUUAUUACUGUUAUGUUCUCAAGAGAGAACCUUUGCCAUAGCCUGGGCCUCAAUAUAACAGAUCUUCCUCUCUUGGCCUGCAUCCUGGGCAAUGAUAUAGUUCCAGAAGGCAUGUUGGAAAAUUUUCGACAAAAAUGCUUGUCUGGCUAUCCUUUUGCUAAACAGAACAAUGACAAAAGGACUAACACAAUCCUAGCCGUGGCAGACUACAUAGCUAGAGUUCUCCACUCACAGCAAGGGGUGAAAGACCUGCAAGAGAUGUUACCUUUGGGAAGAAAUAAAACUCAGUUUUGUAGGGGCAUAUUGUCCUAUCUCCUGCCUGGGCAACAAUCUCCCUGGCUUCUCGAAAUAUCCAGCUUGGAAACAUCAGACAAGCAAGAAGUAACCAUGUGUUCAGACCCAGAGAUCUUACAGAUAGCUAAGAAACAACAUAUCCAAGCUGAAAGCUACCUGGUCUACAAUAUCCUAAGGAGUGGAGAGAUUGAAUGCAGCAACACAUUGGAAGAUGAAUUUGACCCAGAACUCCCUGGACAGGCACUUAUUUACCGUCCUGCUCGGCAACAUAUUUACUCGCUCUUGUUGGAAGACAAUAAAGAUGCUUGCAAUUCCUGCCCCAUAAUAAAAGAAUGGUUUGUGUACUUUGGGAAUCAGCUGAAGCAUCCAGAACUGGUACAGCCUAUCCAACUGGACAUCCCAGGUGGAACACCUAGUUUGAGAACACUGUGGCUGAGCCAAGAGGCAGGGGUACAAUCCCAGCGUUAUGACACCUUUCUGGCCUGCUUUCACCUUCAGACUGAAAGAGAAGAACUUCAGGCUCUAGACAACUCACGUGCAGCCCUGUGCUGCCUCUUACUCUACCUCCUUGGGCAGGUGGAUGCUUUCUCCCUGGAGGACGUAAAUGCUUUUAUUGCUCAGACUUUGUGCCUCCAAGGAAAAUCAGUUGCUCAACUCUCAGGCUUAAAGAUACUGUGUUUUUUACAAAUUGAAGGUUUGUGGCAAACCUGCAUCAAGCACAUCUGUCGGUACUAUUUUCCAGCAGCGUGGGCUCAUGUCAUGGCGAUGUGUCACAUCUGGCUCACCCAUGUUGACUCCAGAGCUGUCCAUCUUGGUUCUCUCUUCGUCCGAGGCCUUACCACUUUGAUUCUGGCCAAUAAUGCUUGUGGGCUUCCAUUUAGAAUGGAUGAUUUGAUGGCUUGGAAGAUGUUUGAUGGAAAACUUUUUCAACAAAAGUACCAGCAGUCACACAGAGGCUGUCCUGUGGAGGAACUUCUAGAAGGCAAUAAAUGUUGGCUGACUGAGUUCCAGAACUUAAAAUCGCUCAUUUGCAAGGCCUGCUUGAAGAACAACCGAGCUCUUCAAAGCAGACAGCGAGGGAAUGAAUUCAUCAGAGAAAACAGAAGAUGGGACUCCAGUUUCCAGAGACCCCAUCAGUCUCAUUUUGCUCCUUCAUUCCAUAAUCCCAACCAAGGACACCACUGGAGAGGCUUUGGGCCUGGCUCAUCAAGAUUCGAAACCGGCCCCUCAGCUUUACAGACUCUGACCUAUGACCUGCUGAAAAGAAGGUAGAGGAUAUAAGUCAGAGGAACAAAACCAGAAGAAAAGAAGAUUCCAACACACUCCCAGGUGGCCCAGAUGAAACCAUAAUGCUGGGGUGGAGCAGAAACCUUUUACAGAUGAUCAAAGCAUUCUUAAACUUGGAAACUGAGCAAAGAAAAAUAAACCUGUGUCAUUUGACUGUCUGCAAAUCAAAUCAAAAAAUUGAAUUUAUGAAAAAGGAUGUUCACUUUAAAAUGCCAUUAUAUGUGUGCGUAGUGGCCUCUUCUGUCUUCUGAUCUGUACAAGCGUACAAAAAGUGCUUUUUUUUUUAAAGCAGGUGAAGUACUGAAAGGAGAAUAUUAAUUUACCCAUUCAGAUACGGGGUGAGAUUUCACAUUAAAAGCCCUUUUUCUCUUAUAUGUUAUUUCCAUACAGUAAAACAUCUGGAGAGAUUCCUCUGUAGUGAUAGAGCAAAGAUGGUGAUAAUUCCACAUAUUCUUUAUUACCUUCAAAAGUUUUCAUUACAGUAUGGGAAUGAUCUGGGAUUUACCAUCAAGUAUAACUUAGUAAGUCCUAAGGUAAAGUGACUUGCCUAGGAUCCCUGAGCGACUAAGCCCCAGUGGCAGCAUUUGAACCCAAGUUUACCUGAAUCCUAACCAAACCCUCCCUCCUCUGCACUAAGCUGCUGACGUGUUUGGAAACAAUAACAAAUGGAGAUUUACCUGGAAAAUAUAAUAUUGCCACUGAGGUCAACUGUAAAUGGCGUAAAAAUGUGAAUAGAAAGUUUUCAAAGUAAGAUUAAUAAAUUAAUAUUUGUAAAUACGAAUCAACUACCAAACAUGCCUACCCUGUGCCCAGAGGUGUGUUCUACGUUAUUUAUGGGAGAUAUAGUUAAAGUAGAAGACACAGUUUCUGCCUUCCAGAAGCAUAAGGCACAUAAAACAACAAUUUAGGUGAACAUAUAUAAUUAAGUGAUAUGUUAUUUGGAAUUUGUUUUGUGUCCUGGGAAGGAAAGAAAGAUCAUUGUAAACGGGAGCGGUCAAGGACAAUAUUCUCAUCUAUGAGAGAAUUUCUCACGAAGAUGGUUUCUCUUGGAGGCAAGAGAACUUCAACUCUUGAGACAACUUAGGAAAGGUUGAAAUCUCAGUGGGAGAGAAAGGGAAAAAAUAGGGGAGGAAUGAGAAGAAGGAAAGAAGUAAAAAGUGAAAAAAAAAAGAAGGGGAAAAGAGAAGGGGAAAAAAGGAAUCUGGUGAGAAGUGGUAGAGCAGCUAUGUUGAAAGUUGCCUCCUUUUAGCCUAAAAAUACUAUCAUGAAAUAACAAUGGGGUUUAAGACUACUUUCCCAUAUUAAUACAAUUAAAAAUGAAUAAUUUUCUUAAUUCAGUCUAUAAACACUCCAUGCAAAUUGUAUAAGUAUUUUUAAGCAGAUUCCCACUUUUUCCCCACUUCCUUCUCAGUUUUUAAGUAGCCCUACAUAGGAUCAUGAAUUUCAAGCUAGAAGGAGCCUUAAAAAGUCAAUGUGUCAGGAUAGCUUAGUGACUCAGUGGAUAGAGAGCCAGAUCUAGAGAUGAGAUCCUGGGUUCAAAUAUAACUUCACACACUUCCUAGUUAUGUGACCCUGGGCAAGUCUCUUAACCCCCAAAGCCCAGCCUUUACCACAGUUUUCAUUCUAAGAUAGAAGAUAAGGGAGUAUUUUUAAGACAUUAUAUCCAAUAUUGCAAUAUAUCCAAUAUAUCCAAUAUUGCAGAUAACAGUAUUAUUUUUUAAUCUGAUAUUUUUCCAUUAAUUCCAAUAAACCUUUUUUUAAACAAAGAAACUGCAAGAAGGUCUUUUUAAGGCAGAGUGAUAAUGAAUUUUAAAAGGUUCUUUACUUUCUGACAGAACUUAAUGAUAAUCAUCUUAGUAGAAAGUGGUGCAGCAAUUAUUUUAUCAGUUAAUUUUAAUUAUUUGUUUAUGGUAUAUCAAGGAAAUAACUUGUAUUAAAAACAAAAAGUCAUCAAUAAACUUUCUUUCAAAUAA
This is a non-coding RNA of Monodelphis domestica (gray short-tailed opossum), 4453 nucleotides long. NCBI's taxonomy places the organism in Eukaryota, Metazoa, Chordata, Mammalia, Didelphimorphia, Didelphidae. The record is from RefSeq and is a predicted model, not a curated record.